RNAcentral lists this ribosomal RNA (482 nucleotides) under uncultured bacterium. Its description in RNAcentral is "partial 16S ribosomal RNA". It matches the Rfam family "Bacterial small subunit ribosomal RNA", at positions 30 to 505 of the family's 1533-position model. The record is from RNAcentral.
AUUGAACGCUGGCGGCAGGCCUAACACAUGCAAGUCGAGCGGAUGAAGGGAGCUUGCUCCUGGAUUCAGCGGCGGACGGGUGAGUAAUGCCUAGGAAUCUGCCUGGUAGUGGGGGAUAACGUCCGGAAACGGGCGCUAAUACCGCAUACGUCCUGAGGGAGAAAGUGGGGGAUCUUCGGACCUCACGCUAUCAGAUGAGCCUAGGUCGGAGUAGCUAGUUGGUGGGGUAAAGGCCUACCAAGGCGACGAUCCGUAACUGGUCUGAGAGGAUGAUCAGUCACACUGGAACUGAGACACGGUCCAGACUCCUACGGGAGGCAGCAGUGGGGAAUAUUGGACAAUGGGCGAAAGCCUGAUCCAGCCAUGCCGCGUGUGUGAAGAAGGUCUUCGGAUUGUAAAGCACUUUAAGUUGGGAGGAAGGGCAGUAAGUUAAUACCUUGCUGUUUUGACGUUACCAACAGAAUAAGCACCGGCUAACUUCG